AUGCACAGAUGCAUUAGUGGCCUUCAUCCCUAUCAGGCAUGAUCUUUUAAGGGAGUGGGUGUUUAUGUGUUUAUUUUGUAUGGACAUCAUUUUUCCAGUUUCUAAUCAUCAUUAGAAUGUUUUCCUUUGUGGUUUUAUUGCUCUAAGAUGUUAAUUAUUAAAUAGAAAAUUAUUUAAUUAUUCCUCUGAUGAAGUUUUCCUUUUCUGUCUGUUGUUGUCCAGUUUUGCAGAUAUUUAUUAGAUAUCUAUCUGAUGGGCUACAUAUCCAAUGCUCACUCAACUGACUGGUGCACUCGCAAGCAUGUUGACUCAAAAGUAAUUACUCAAGCUUUGGAAUGCAAUAGAAUAGAUAAAGCCCUUCUGUUGACCUGUUUCCAGAAAAUGGUUUUCUGUCAAUGUAUGUAUUUAACAUCUACCAUACCAUCAAUGUUUUAUUUCAGUUAUUAUAAAUUAAAGUUAUUGCUUU
RNAcentral lists this long non-coding RNA (466 nucleotides) under Prunus dulcis (almond). RNAcentral describes it as "sRNA ncRNA". The record is from RNAcentral. Lineage: Eukaryota; Viridiplantae; Streptophyta; Magnoliopsida; Rosales; Rosaceae.